RNAcentral lists this long non-coding RNA (281 nucleotides) under Apteryx rowi (Okarito brown kiwi). RNAcentral's name for it is "lncRNA (ENSARWG00000017200.1)". Lineage: Eukaryota; Metazoa; Chordata; Aves; Apterygiformes; Apterygidae. The record is from RNAcentral.
UUUGAUCUUAGCUCCCCGUUCUCUUCAACAGAGGAAUGUUAAUAGUAGAGCUGGCAAACAGCGAAUGAAACAAGUGCAAGGGAGCAAAUAAGGAUAAAGGACCCAAUCCUGUUUUGAGACGCUGACUACUUUUAACUCCUGUUGACUCCUAUUCCUAAUGAGCAGGACAUAGGACACCAAUGUGUGCCUGGAUACACUGAAAAAUUAGAAGUUAUCUCGGGUGGGUUUUUUUGUGUGAUCAAGCACAGAAAUAAAAAUUUAGCAUUAUUUAUAGUAAGUAC